AGAAAGAAAAAUAAGGAUGGGAAGAAGAGCUACAAUCAGGUAUCUCUGUGAGCUACUUUGCAUCAGUCCUGGACAUUUCAAGGUGCUCUGAUAGACUUCUGGGAGCACUCACUGACAAGGCUUUAAGUGGCAUGAGUAACAGAGUCACUUACUGAAGUAACAGAAAGAAGAAAGCUUUGCAAGAGGAAAUGAAUGAGCUCAGCUCCAGAUUGUCCCCCGUCCACAUGUGACAGGCACAUCUGGUUACCUACUCUAGUGAGUGAAGAAAUGGAUCCAGCAGGAAGAGGAAGCCAUAUAAUACUCCCCAGGAAUGCUUAACAGAGGAUUUCUCUGCCUUUCACGGAAAAUAGGAGUCUUGAGGGAGCAUCCUGAGCAAAUUAAGAAGGAUAAUUUGCUUGCUUGAGUUGACUGCUUUAGUUCAGUAGGUAGAAAUAUGUAGAAUAAGGAUAACAAGGUAGGUCAAGAGUUGAAAAAGACAAUACAAGAAGCAAUUGAAAUCUUUAACAG
This 507-nucleotide long non-coding RNA is filed under the name Mus spicilegus (steppe mouse). RNAcentral's name for it is "lncRNA (ENSMSIG00000017208.1)". The record is from RNAcentral. Lineage: Eukaryota; Metazoa; Chordata; Mammalia; Rodentia; Muridae.